RNAcentral lists this transfer-messenger RNA (203 nucleotides) under Bacteroidales bacterium. RNAcentral describes it as "partial transfer-messenger RNA". It matches the Rfam family "transfer-messenger RNA", at positions 162 to 374 of the family's 374-position model. From Rfam's summary of the family: Bacterial tmRNA, also known as 10Sa RNA or SsrA, is named for its dual tRNA and mRNA-like properties. Its role is to liberate the mRNA from a stalled ribosome. The record is from RNAcentral. Lineage: Bacteria; Pseudomonadati; Bacteroidota; Bacteroidia; Bacteroidales.
CCUGUUGUUUCCGGCAUAUGGGGCACCGAUCAAACGGGGAUAGUCGGGGCGACACCUUUAAACCCCGAUGAAACAAACAAAGGUUAAGGAUUGGUUCGGUUGCCUUUCACCUGGCCAUUCCCGACAAUCAAGAAAGGCUAAGCAUGUAGAAAGCAAGCUGGUUCCUUGUUUGGACGAGGGUUCGAUUCCCUCCAGCUCCACUU